AUUGAACGCUGGCGGCAUGCCUUACACAUGCCAGUCGAACGGUAACGGGCCUUCGGGUGCCGACGAGUGGCGAACGGGUGAGUAAUACAUCGGAACGUGCCCGAUCGUGGGGGAUAACGAGGCGAAAGCUUUGCUAAUACCGCAUACGAUCUACGGAUGAAAGCAGGGGACCGCAAGGCCUUGCGCGGACGGAGCGGCCGAUGGCAGAUUAGGUAGUUGGUGGGAUAAAAGCUUACCAAGCCGACGAUCUGUAGCUGGUCUGAGAGGAUGAUCAGCCACACUGGGACUGAGACACGGCCCAGACUCCUACGGGAGGCAGCAGUGGGGAAUUUUGGACAAUGGGCGCAAGCCUGAUCCAGCCAUGCCGCGUGCAGGAUGAAGGCCUUCGGGUUGUAAACUGCUUUUGUACGGAACGAAAAGCCUUCUUUUAAUACAGGGGGGUCAUGACGGUACCGUAAGAAUAAGCACCGGCUAACUACGU
This 481-nucleotide ribosomal RNA is filed under the name uncultured bacterium. RNAcentral describes it as "partial 16S ribosomal RNA". It matches the Rfam family "Bacterial small subunit ribosomal RNA", at positions 30 to 506 of the family's 1533-position model. The record is from RNAcentral.